Molecule: long non-coding RNA, 1083 nt
Filed under: Cimex lectularius (bed bug)
Lineage: Eukaryota; Metazoa; Arthropoda; Insecta; Hemiptera; Cimicidae
Description: uncharacterized LOC106663813, transcript variant X1
Source: RNAcentral
AACGUGUUUCAUUUCCAGUUCAGGCUCAGACCGGCCAACAGCUUUUCCCCGUACUCUCAUUUCCGUGCGUCUCGAUUGUGAACCCUCUCACACUUGCGGAUCCAUUUGAGUAUUUUUAUUAUAAAAAAAAAAUUGAGAAAACCGUUCUGUGCUUUGUGUUUUUUCUAAAUUACUUUGGUUUAAAAACGAGUGGAGAUGGAUUCUCCAAUUUGACACAUCCGAAGGAUUUUUCGUGAAAAAAGAAUUGGUGAAAUCGGAUCAAUAUGAAAAUUCUUUUUGGGUCCUUCAUGGAAAAUGGAGUACAAUGCUGCCAGAGCGGGUGUCCUAUUUCUGUUCAAUAAAAAAAACUUUCAACCUGAUCAUACUGAAGGACUGCUACUCCUGAUGGAUAGAAAUCAUUAUGGACGAUGCUUCAUUUAAAAGCAAACAAAUUUAAUGUCAGAACAGAAAAACUUUCAACCUGAUCAUACUGAAGGACUGCUACUCCUGAUGGGUAGAAAUCAUUAUGGUCGAUGCUUCGUUUAAAAGCAAUCAAAUUUAAUUCAGAACAGAAAAACUUUCAACCUGAUCAUACUUAGGGACUGCUACUCCUGAUGGAUAGAAAUCAUUAUGGACGAUGCUUCGUUUAAAAGCAAUCAAAUUUAAUGUCAGAACAGAAAAACUUUCAACCCGUAUCAUACUGAAGGACAGCUACUCCUGAUGGAUAGAAUUCGUUAUGGACAUUAUGCUUCGUUUAAAAGCAAACAAAUUUAAUGCCGGGUUUCAGGGAGGCUUCUGAAUCACCUUCGUUCUCAAGUCUUGUCUGCUGAUCAGAAACAUCAGCUGGACUCGAAUAUAUUUCAAAACAUUCUGAUCGCCACAAAACUUAACUUUCAAGGUGCUUUAUCCAAGACGUUGUCUUGAUUCCGUGGUAAAUAAGCUUUGAAACUACUAUAUCGUCUUAACACCAUCGAAUUUUGUAACAAACCACUUUUUUAUGGAAAAAACCGACUCGUCAAAUAUCAAAAAUCCAUGUCUAUUUAUGGAGCUUUUAAUUAAUAAUUAAAUUUAAUUAAAACUAGAAACACUCAGUUGUUCUGUCAA